UACGGAGGGGGCUAGCGUUGUUCGGAAUUACUGGGCGUAAAGCGCGCGUAGGCGGACCUGCAAGUCGGGGGUGAAAGCCCGAGGCUCAACCUCGGAACUGCCUUCGAAACUGCGGGUCUCGAGUCCGGGAGAGGUGAGUGGAAUUCCUAGUGUAGAGGUGAAAUUCGUAGAUAUUAGGAAGAACACCAGUGGCGAAGGCGGCUCACUGGCCCGGUACUGACGCUGAGGCGCGAAAGCGUGGGGAGCAAACAGG
This 253-nucleotide ribosomal RNA is filed under the name uncultured bacterium. Its description in RNAcentral is "partial 16S ribosomal RNA". It matches the Rfam family "Bacterial small subunit ribosomal RNA", at positions 524 to 776 of the family's 1533-position model. The record is from RNAcentral.